GUCUCAAGCAUGAACAAAUAUGAUUCUAUUUGGAUGUCAUUGCAUUUGCAUUAACCUCGCAUCAUCAUAUCAAUAUUUAUACAAUAUUUUGCCAAUUCUUCUUAAAUUUGUCCUAUUUGUGAAAUGUCCAGAAAAUGUGCUCGUUUAAUUUUUCUAAAAGCGUUGUAAGUUACACCUCCUUAACACAAAUCACAUAAUUAAUUUUAGGUGACUCAUAAACUUAUGUUAUCGGGAAAAACUCACGUUUAAUGAAUAUAAUGUUGCGGCAGUUAGUGGACGCCCCACCGGUGAAACCUGCUCAAGAUUUGAGUGACAGUUCUCAAACCCCUCCCCUUUACUAACAUUUCGGCAGGUAACGUUACUAAAUGGCAAACACGGAUGAUUACGAACAGUGAUGGAUAACUGACGGACAACGAACACGCACCUCAAAACAAAGUUGUUUUUAUAAACAUUAAAAGGGAAGUUUCAAUAAUACCUGCAAUUUAAACUCUGCAUGCUGCAUUGACGAGAAAAAGAUGCAAUUGUGGAAACUACCUCACCAUCAUGGCCGACUAAAAAAACCGUAUGGCGUCUUAAAGACUCCUCAUUGGGUGAUUGGGCCGAACGAACACAGGCUUGACGCUUUGCGAGUGUUGAUUGGAUGCAGCGUAUGUCAAUCAACGGAAGGGCCGCUUUACGGUGCUUAAGAAAACAUGGAACUGGAUUUUCAGUCUUUCCCUUUUAUUUCUCCCCUCCCACAUCAAGGACCGAUAAAAGGUGUUAGCAAAUACAUGUUCAGGAUUGGCUUUUUACAGGGGUUUACAGUAUGUGGCAUAAUAGCUACCCCCGUAACAUUUGUAGGUAAGUUAUUUAAUCCAAUCCGCGUAUUUGUCAAAAAUCUUUAUGUAGCUUAUUAAACAGGAUAUUUCACCUGAUAAAGCAAUUGAUUGGGUAUUAUUUUUGUCGUUUUUGGGAAUUCUCUUUAGUUCAAUCACAUUUAUGUAUUACUUUUUAAUGUAUUUAUUGAUUGUUUAAUUUUGAUUUAAGCAACUGAAUACUUAUUGGUUUUACUUAAUUAUAUAAUUAAACAUUAAUUUCAAUGUUCUGUCCGUACUCUUUACAUCUGUCAUUUCAGCAGACACUUUUUAUUUAAAGCUUUUUACAAUACUUACACUUAUUGGAUAUACAGGACCUUCUGAAGCAAACUGGAGUUAAGUGCCACCCUCAAGGGCAAAAUGGUGAGUGAUCCCAGGCACUUCUCCCAUUCCUGGGUCAACCUUUGUGGUAGCAGAGCGUAUUUAUAACCAUCAGGCUACCACCACUUCCAAUAGUCUCAUGCAUUUAUAAUAUGUCAUUAUAGCAAACACAAAUAUUGUUGUCGACUUCUUCAGAGUAUGAAAUAAAUGAUUAAAUUAAUGAAUGUUUGAUAAGCAGUCAAAUUACAUCUGUCAAUCAAAUGUAGGUAAUUUGUGAAGUUUACAGGCACCGACAGCUAUGGUCCAGAGCAGGAAUACCGUUUGUUUAUCCCAGACAAAACCAAAAGUAUGUGGUACAUAAUUGACCACACACUGAAUGACCUUUAUCUUUAAAUAUUUUGAAUAUAAGUGUAAAUCAUAACAUGUUUUGUGUGGUCAGUCUUUUCUUAGAUGUACUUACUGGAUUGGCUUACUCAAAACUGCUUUUUAAUGUAAAGAUGAGAAAUGUUUGUAACAUGAUCCCUUAAGCAGUGACAAAAGAGAAACAAUCAUUCGCUCCAUCACCCCCUCUCCAUCCCCGUUCUCUCUCUCCUCCGCUCUCUUAACCUCUAAGCAUCCCCAAGAUCAGUCUCCAUUACCUCUGCUUUACGGCUCUUUAGAUGAACCCGUGAGAGGGCUUUCUCAAUGAUCUCUAGCAUCUAAAUGGACUCCCUUCCUGUCUGCAACAAUAAUAACCAAUGUGGAAAUCCCCCUGCUUUGCUGCCGUCUGGUAUGGGGAGUCACGUGGCACUGCGCAGUCCCUGGAGCCCAGAGCCCUACUCACCCUGGUCUCUUAGAUGCUCCUGUUUACUCACAAAAUCCUAUUGCUGUUAACUAAGAAUCCACAAUGGCCUUGAGACAGAAACAUGGACUCCCUUUAAUUAUUAAAGCCCUGUUUAUCUAGCACUUGUGUGGGAGGAUAACUGGAUUACUUUAGUAUCUCACCAUCAUGGAGAAGAUGUGAAUAAAUUUUAAGUGGUACAUUAUUAUAAUUACUUGAUAAUUUGGCACUGGUUUUCAUGUAAUAUUAUAAGGUGGAUUUUGUUAUACUUAAUAAAUGAAUAAAUUCUAAAAA
Non-coding RNA from Misgurnus anguillicaudatus (oriental weatherfish), 2289 nucleotides. The record is from RefSeq and is a predicted model, not a curated record. Lineage: Eukaryota; Metazoa; Chordata; Actinopteri; Cypriniformes; Cobitidae.